UACGAAGGGGGCUAGCGUUGCUCGGAAUUACUGGGCGUAAAGGGCGCGUAGGCGGCACUGUUAGUCAGGCGUGAAAGUCCUGGGCUCAACCUGGGAACUGCGCUUGAUACGGCAGAGCUAGAGGAUGGAAGAGGGUCGCGGAAUUCCCAGUGUAGAGGUGAAAUUCGUAGAUAUUGGGAAGAACACCAAUGGCGAAGGCAGCUCUCUGGGACGGUACUGACGCUGAGACGCGAAAGCGUGGGGAGCGAACGAGGA
This 255-nucleotide ribosomal RNA is filed under the name uncultured bacterium. Its description in RNAcentral is "partial 16S ribosomal RNA". It matches the Rfam family "Bacterial small subunit ribosomal RNA", at positions 524 to 778 of the family's 1533-position model. The record is from RNAcentral.